CAAGUCUGUGAGGCCCGCCCAUGUGAUGUCAAGGGCUUUGGAGGCCCCUGAUGCACAGCAUCCUGCAGAGCAACACCUAUAUGAGUUGUUGGGCAGAGAGGCCCCAGAGGCUCCCAAAAUAAUAUGGUCCAUUGUCCUUGUUCUUGAUUGCUCACCAGAAGUAAAUGCCCACAGGCAACCGGUUCCAUUGCUGUGGGCUUAAUGAAGGGCUGAAUGUUACCAGCGAGGAGCGAAGCAACUUACCUUGAAGCAGACAGGAAACAAAGGGGAAGAUCCCGUACACCAUUUCAGAGCAUGCUCUGGUGAUCUACUCCCCCUCAACCAAUGAACAUCUCCUGCUUUCCGCCACCUCCUCAAACACCAAAGUACUGUGAAUUCACCAGGGAGUUAACCACUGAUCGGAACUUCAGAGCCCUUAGGACUCAAUUACUUCCUAAACUAGCAACAAUACCACCACUAGAAAAGCCCGUGGAGGUCAAACAUCACAUUCAAACUAUGAUAGCCCACCCCUGAACUUAAAUGCUCAUGUGUAUUUUACAACAUAAAAUUAAUUAAGCCCACCUCCAAGAGUCUCUGAUAGUCUUAACGUUCUCAGUUUAAUUUAAAUGUCUCCUCUGCAAUUAAAGGUAUACUUAACUGCGAUUCUCUGCAGUUUAAUUUAAAAUG
Mastomys coucha (southern multimammate mouse) is the source of this 666-nucleotide long non-coding RNA. RefSeq lists it as uncharacterized. Lineage: Eukaryota; Metazoa; Chordata; Mammalia; Rodentia; Muridae. The record is from RefSeq and is a predicted model, not a curated record. The transcript is spliced from 3 exons.